RNAcentral lists this long non-coding RNA (348 nucleotides) under Rattus norvegicus (Norway rat). RNAcentral describes it as "long non-coding RNA NONRATT005231". The record is from RNAcentral. Lineage: Eukaryota; Metazoa; Chordata; Mammalia; Rodentia; Muridae.
GAAAGGAAGGGUACCCCUGCCCUAGGACCCUGGAAUUCUCCUUCCUGGGUUCCCCCCACAUCACAGGCAGGAAGCACACCUGUAAAUCUAGCCUCUGACUCCCUGCUGUAUGCAUGAGACAGUCACUUUCUCGACUUGGGAAGCCUGACCUCCAAGGCAGAGAGUGAAGAAGUGCCCCCAGCCCCAGGAAGGGCAGCCAGGUGCUGGUUCAGACCUAGACUUCACUACUCCAGGCCUUCAGGGAGGAACUGGCAGAGUUUCGGAAAAAGCUGGAUACUCAUAAGGGCCCUGUGAGCUGUGCCCUGGUGGCCCUGAUGGCCCAUGGGGGGCCACAGGGGCAGCUGCUGG